AUUGAACGCUGGCGGCAGGCCUAACACAUGCAAGUCGAGCGGAUGAAGGGAGCUUGCUCCUGGAUUCAGCGGCGGACGGGUGAGUAAUGCCUAGGAAUCUGCCUGGUAGUGGGGGAUAACGUCCGGAAACGGGCGCUAAUACCGCAUACGUCCUGAGGGAGAAAGUGGGGGAGCUUCGGACCUCACGCUAUCAGAUGAGCCUAGGUCGGAUUAGCUAGUUGGUGGGGUAAAGGCAUACCAAGGCGACGAUCCGUAACUGGUCUGAGAGGAUGAUCAGUCACACUGGAACUGAGACACGGUCCAGACUCCUACGGGAGGCAGCAGUGGGGAAUAUUGGACAAUGGGCGAAAGCCUGAUCCAGCCAUGCCGCGUGUGUGAAGAAGGUCUUCGGAUUGUAAAGCCCUUUAAGUUGGGAGGAAGGGCAGUAAGUUAAUACCUCGCUGUUUUGACGUUACCAACAGAAUAAGCACCGGCUAACUUCGUG
Molecule: ribosomal RNA, 484 nt
Filed under: uncultured bacterium
Lineage: Bacteria
Description: partial 16S ribosomal RNA
Rfam family: Bacterial small subunit ribosomal RNA
Source: RNAcentral